GACGAACGCUGGCGGCGUGCUUAACACAUGCAAGUCGAACGGUAAGGCUCCAGCUUGCUGGGGUACACGAGUGGCGAACGGGUGAGUAACACGUGGGUGACCUGCCCUGCACUUCGGGAUAAGCCUGGGAAACUGGGUCUAAUACCGGAUAGGACCGCACCGUGAGGGUGUGGUGGAAAGUUUUUUCGGUGUGGGAUGGGCCCGCGGCCUAUCAGCUUGUUGGUGGGGUAAUGGCCUACCAAGGCGGCGACGGGCAGCCGGCCUGAGAGGGUGGACGGCCACAUUGGGACUGAGACACGGCCCAGACUCCUACGGGAGGCAGCAGUGGGGAAUAUUGCACAAUGGGCGGAAGCCUGAUGCAGCGACGCCGCGUGGGGGAUGACGGCCUUCGGGUUGUAAACUCCUUUCACCAUCGACGAAGGGUUUCUGACGGUAGAUGGAGAAGAAGCACCGGCUAACUACGUGCCAGCAGCCGCGGUAAUACGUAGGGUGCGAGCGUUGUCCGGAAUUACUGGGCGUAAAGAGCUCGUAGGUGGUUUGUCGCGUCGUCUGUGAAUUCCGGGGCUUAACUCCGGGCGUGCAGGCGAUACGGGCAUAACUUGAGUACUGUAGGGGAGACUGGAAUUCCUGGUGUAGCGGUGAAAUGCGCAGAUAUCAGGAGGAACACCGGUGGCGAAGGCGGGUCUCUGGGCAGUAACUGACGCUGAGGAGCGAAAGCAUGGGGAGCGAACAGGAUUAGAUACCCUGGUAGUCCAUGCCGUAAACGGUGGGCGCUAGGUGUGGGUUUCCUUCCACGGGAUCCGUGCCGUAGCUAACGCAUUAAGCGCCCCGCCUGGGGAGUACGGCCGCAAGGCUAAAACUCAAAGGAAUUGACGGGGGCCCGCACAAGCGGCGGAGCAUGUGGAUUAAUUCGAUGCAACGCGAAGAACCUUACCUGGGCUUGACAUAUACAGGAUCGCGCCAGAGAUGGUGUUUCCCUUGUGGCUUGUAUACAGGUGGUGCAUGGUUGUCGUCAGCUCGUGUCGUGAGAUGUUGGGUUAAGUCCCGCAACGAGCGCAACCCUUGUCUUAUGUUGCCAGCACGUUGUGGUGGGGACUCGUAAGAAACUGCCGGGGUUAACUCGGAGGAAGGUGGGGAUGACGUCAAAUCAUCAUGCCCCUUAUGUCCAGGGCUUCACACAUGCUACAAUGGUCGGUACAGUGGGUUGCCAGUCCGUGAGGGCGAGCUAAUCCCGCAAAGCCGGUCUCAGUUCGGAUCGGGGUCUACAACUCGACCCCGUGAAGUCGGAGUCGCUAGUAAUCGCAGAUCAGCAACGCUGCGGUGAAUACGUUCCCGGGCCU
RNAcentral lists this ribosomal RNA (1340 nucleotides) under uncultured bacterium. Its description in RNAcentral is "16S ribosomal RNA". It matches the Rfam family "Bacterial small subunit ribosomal RNA", at positions 28 to 1381 of the family's 1533-position model. The record is from RNAcentral.